GCUAGGCAUGGUGGCAUGCACCUGUAGUCCCAGCCACUCUGGAGGCUGAGGCAGGAGGAUCGCCUGAGCCCAGGAGUUCUGGGUUGUAGUGUGCUAUACCAAUCAGGUGUCCACACUAAGUUUAGCAUCAAUAAGGUGUACCCCCAGGGAGCUGGGGACCACCAGGUUGCCUAAGAAUGGGUGAACUGGUCCAGGUCAAAAAUGGAGCAGGUGAAAGUUCCCAUGCAGAUCAGUAGUGGGAUCAUGCCUGUGUACAGCCCCUGCACUCCAGCCUGGGCAACAGAGUAAGACCCCGUCUCAA
Macaca fascicularis (crab-eating macaque) is the source of this 301-nucleotide unclassified non-coding RNA. It matches the Rfam family "Metazoan signal recognition particle RNA". Rfam says of the family: The signal recognition particle (SRP) is a universally conserved ribonucleoprotein. It is involved in the co-translational targeting of proteins to membranes. The record is from Ensembl. NCBI's taxonomy places the organism in Eukaryota, Metazoa, Chordata, Mammalia, Primates, Cercopithecidae.